GUAGGGGGCAAGCGUUGUCCGGAAUCAUUGGGCGUAAAGAGCGUGUAGGCGGUCCGGUAAGUCGGCUGUGAAAGUCCAGGGCUCAACCCUGGGAUGCCGGUCGAUACUGCCGGACUAGAGUUCGGAAGAGGCGAGUGGAAUUCCCGGUGUAGCGGUGAAAUGCGCAGAUAUCGGGAGGAACACCUAUGGCGAAGGCAGCUCGCUGGGACGUUACUGACGCUGAGACGCGAAAGCGUGGGGAGCAAACAGGAUUAGAUACCCUGGUAGUCCACGCCGUAAACGAUGGGCACUAGGUGUGGGAGGUGUCGACUCCUCCCGUGCCGGAGCUAACGCAUUAAGUGCCCCGCCUGGGGAGUACGGCCGCAAGGCUA
RNAcentral lists this ribosomal RNA (371 nucleotides) under uncultured bacterium. RNAcentral's name for it is "bacterial SSU rRNA". It matches the Rfam family "Bacterial small subunit ribosomal RNA", at positions 527 to 896 of the family's 1533-position model. The record is from RNAcentral.